Long non-coding RNA from Pleuronectes platessa (European plaice), 1718 nucleotides. RefSeq lists it as uncharacterized. The record is from RefSeq and is a predicted model, not a curated record. The transcript has 3 exons. Lineage: Eukaryota; Metazoa; Chordata; Actinopteri; Pleuronectiformes; Pleuronectidae.
GAUUUGAGGAGGAGGAGCUUGAAGAGGGACUUGCCUCUUUACAGGAGCAUAGCACACAAGGAGGAUGAGUGGCACCAGCACACAUAAGGUGAGGAACACCUUCAUCCCCAGCCUCGUAAAAAAUGUGUUUCUGGGAAGUUCUGCAGUGAGACAGGGAAAGGAGGAAAGUCGUCGGUUGAAAUGCAUGCAGAGACAUUUUGAAGGGGAUUUGUUGAUGACAAUGGGACUCACCAGUGAUGGCCGACCCCGUCCUCCAAUGAACCUCAGCGGACCAGUCGCUCCACUGUCCCUGGUAAAAAACCAGGUUGGGACUGGACCGUACACUGGCAGUGUACUCUGCGUUCAGCAUGAACACGUCAUCGUCCACAGAAUAGUUUGUUCUUUCUGUGUAGAUAUCAUGAGAGAUCACCUGCAAGAAAAGAAGAAAGCAACAGCGCCCUCUGCAGAAACCCGGGGGGAUUCAUUCUGUUGGACGCCCACAAUCACCUGCAGCCUCUUAAAUAGAGGUAAUUCAAUCAACGGGGAACAGGACCGGGGGUGCACGCCCUUAUAUUUAAAGGUAAAGGAGUUGCAUAGUGUCGCUUUAUGGUCAUUUAUCAUUAUUAUGUUUCAGUUGAAAGUGACUCACGGUUCAAAUGUUUCUGUGAAAUUGAGCCAGUAGGAGCUGUCGCUGCCGGAUGUGUCUUCUGAUGGUCUGAGGCUCAUGGUGCAGUUGACCGUGAACAAGUAAUCAUUCACACAGUGAAGAUCGUGGUCGUCUACAGAGUAAUUAUACAAGCACACAAGUAAAUAUAGAAGCAUGUGUUGUAUUUGGUCUGUCAGGUGCCAAAAAUGAGUUGUGUCGCUUUGAGGAAAGGUCAGUUUUUCUUAAACAUUAGUUUAUCGCAUUAAUAUAAUUUGUAUUAUUAUUAGAUUAUGUUUUUAAUCUUAUUAUAUAAUAUUACUUUUUAUUGACUUUUUUCUUCUAGCUAUUGAAUCGUUCUAUUAGUUUUCUAAUUGUUCUUUAGCUUUUCAAAUCUAUUGUAUGUUUUUAUUUUCAUCAGCAUUUAGAUUUGUUUCUGUCUUAUUCUGGCUCAUCAGUCAAUUAUGAAACACUUUGAUCUGCGCUGAUCUGAGUGAAAGUGACUGGCUCCAAUUAGGGCCAUUUUUAGAAGUGUUGCAUGAAUGUGAGUGUGACUUGUAUUGUAAAGUGCUUGGGUGGGAAAUAACACCAGAAAAGUGCUGUAUAGACACAAUCCAUUUACCGUCAGUUAAAUCUGGUAGACAGUGAUUAUCCUUUUUUCUUUGUCUAUUUUUAAUGCUGUUCGACUUUGUUCCAGAAGAUGACUUUACACCUUCCAGUCCAAGAAGAAUUACUGUUAUUAUCAUUACUUGUUAUAAGAUUUUAAACUUUGAAUAAAAGAUUGUUACAGUUUUUAACACAUUAGGAGUCACCAUGAAUUCACUGGUUACAAAUACUGAUCAAAGGACAUCAAUACAAAGACUUUCCCCACAAUUUAAAAGCUUGUCAGCCUUUGCCCGAAGGUCAAUGGUCAUGUAACCCAUACCUGAGGUCCCUUCAAAAUCAGAGUCAGCGAAAGAGAUGUUAACAUUUUAAAGAAUAUUGGAAGAGAUAUCACCUGAGAUAGGAUUCCCAUGCAGACAGAUGAUGCUGGCGGACAGGAGCAGAACCACGUUCAGCCGAAUCAUCCUCAGUCUCAAUGUCGAGCUCCGAUCCA